GAUGAACGCUAGCUACAGGCUUAACACAUGCAAGUCGAGGGGCAGCAUGGUCUUAGCUUGCUAAGGCCGAUGGCGACCGGCGCACGGGUGAGUAACGCGUAUCCAACCUGCCUUACACUCUUGGACAGCCUUCUGAAAGGGAGAUUAAUACAAGAUGUUAUCAUGAGUAAGCAUUUUCGCAUGAUUAAAGGUUUACCGGUGUAAGAUGGGGAUGCGUUCCAUUAGAUAGUAGGCGGGGUAACGGCCCACCUAGUCGACGAUCGAUAGCCGGACUGAGAGGUUGAUCGGCCACAUUGGGACUGAGACACGGCCCAG
This 315-nucleotide ribosomal RNA is filed under the name uncultured bacterium. Its description in RNAcentral is "bacterial SSU rRNA". It matches the Rfam family "Bacterial small subunit ribosomal RNA", at positions 28 to 334 of the family's 1533-position model. The record is from RNAcentral.